This 250-nucleotide unclassified non-coding RNA is filed under the name plant metagenome. RNAcentral describes it as "partial contains small subunit ribosomal RNA, internal transcribed spacer 1, and 5.8S ribosomal RNA". The record is from RNAcentral.
GUAGGUGAACCUGCGGAAGGAUCAUUAACAAAUCAGUUUGGUGCUGCUGGGUGUGUGUGUGUGUGGGGGGGGGUCUUCCUUUUGGAGGGCUCUCUCUCUCCUCCACCCCACGGCCCAUAUUAACCCGAGCCCGUGCAGCAAUGCCGGGCAAGGUGUGUGAGCCCGCCCUUUUGGGAGGGGCUCACGCGGUGAAGGUCAAUGUGUCUUGCAUUGAACCCGAUCCACAUAGACGCUUGUAUGUUUGACAGAG